This 364-nucleotide long non-coding RNA is filed under the name Equus asinus (donkey). Its description in RNAcentral is "lncRNA (ENSEASG00005025036.1)". Lineage: Eukaryota; Metazoa; Chordata; Mammalia; Perissodactyla; Equidae. The record is from RNAcentral.
GGGCAAAGCACCUCCCCGCCUCCCCGCCUCCGCGCAGGCGCACUUGGGGCCGGUAGCCAAGGUCGGGAGAGCAUGUGCUAGAGUCCAGGAAUACUCAGUAAUCAACUAUGCAAAGUUCCUGCCUUGGGUGUCACAAUCUGGUCAGAGGGAGAGACACAGAGAGGCCAUCACAAUAUGAGACGUUAAUGCUGAGAAAUCUUGUUCAUAUAAAUAAGUACACGGGAAUGGAAGACGUUCUGGCAGACUCUCUCCGUAUCACCAAAUCAUCGAGCAGGUGACAACUGAAUUUGUUUCACCUCCUUCAAUUGUUGAAAGCGAAAUAUUGUGCAAUCUUUGCUUUACAAAAGGAUUUAUUGUCCACUCA